CCAUGAAGCAUUAGAUACGGUCAUAUUGAAACACCUCUGGAAGAUACGUGCGGAAAUGGGUGUACUGCCCCGUCUAAUAAUACGUUUAAGGAGGCGAUGCUACAGUACCGCAGUGAUUAAAAUGGACGACAUCCUUUUAGGAAACUUCCAAAUCCAGGGUGGGCGCACUGUGUGGUGAUGAUCAUGAGCAAUCUCUACUCUUCAGUGAGGCUUGAAUAGCGACCGGAAUGGCGAGUAGAUCAACGAUCUCCACUUGCGACGGGCCCACGAUCAGAUACGACUACACAAUCUUACAAAACUACAAACAUCAUCAAAGAAAUACAAAAACAGAACUUGAAA
Bombyx mori (domestic silkworm) is the source of this 339-nucleotide long non-coding RNA. RefSeq lists it as uncharacterized. The record is from RefSeq and is a predicted model, not a curated record. The transcript is spliced from 3 exons. NCBI's taxonomy places the organism in Eukaryota, Metazoa, Arthropoda, Insecta, Lepidoptera, Bombycidae.